GACAGAGGUGCCGAGCGUUAGGCGGAAUCACUGGGCUUAAAGCGUGUGUAGGCGGAUCGUUAAGUGCCUUGUGAAAUCCCACGGCUCAACCGUGGAACUGCUUGGCAUACUGGCGGUCUUGAGCCACUUAGGGGCUACCGGAACAAACGGUGGAGCGGUGAAAUGCGUAGAUAUCGUUUGGAACGCCAAUGGUGAAAACAGGUAGCUGGGAGUGUGCUGACGCUGAGACACGAAAGCCAGGGGAGCGAACGGG
Molecule: ribosomal RNA, 253 nt
Filed under: uncultured bacterium
Lineage: Bacteria
Description: partial 16S ribosomal RNA
Rfam family: Bacterial small subunit ribosomal RNA
Source: RNAcentral